AAGGGGGGACGGAGAAGGCUAUGUUGGCCGGGCGACGGUUGUCCCGGUUUAAGCGUGUAGGCUGGUUUUCCAGGCAAAUCCGGAAAAUCAAGGCUGAGGCGUGAUGACGAGGCACUACGGUGCUGAAGCAACAAAUGCCCUGCUUCCAGGAAAAGCCUCUAAGCAUCAGGUAACAUCAAAUCGUACCCCAAACCGACACAGGUGGUCAGGUAGAGAAUACCAAGGCGCUUGAGAGAACUCGGGUGAAGGAACUAGGCAAAAUGGUGCCGUAACUUCGGGAGAAGGCACGCUGAUAUGUAGGUGAAGCGACUUGCUCGUGGAGCUGAAAUCAGUCGAAGAUACCAGCUGGCUGCAACUGUUUAUUAAAAACACAGCACUGUGCAAACACGAAAGUGGACGUAUACGGUGUGACGCCUGCCCGGUGCCGGAAGGUUAAUUGAUGGGGUCAGCGCAAGCGAAGCUCUUGAUCGAAGCCCCGGUAAACGGCGGCCGUAACAAUAACGGUCCUAAGGUAGCGAAAUUCCUUGUCGGGUAAGUUCCGACCUGCACGAAUGGCGUAAUGAUGGCCAGGCUGUCUCCACCCGAGACUCAGUGAAAUUGAACUCGCUGUGAAGAUGCAGUGUACCCGCGGCAAGACGGAAAGACCCCGUGAACCUUUACUAUAGCUUGACACUGAACAUUGAGCCUUGAUGUGUAGGAUAGGUGGGAGGCUUUGAAGUGUGGACGCCAGUCUGCAUGGAGCCGACCUUGAAAUACCACCCUUUAAUGUUUGAUGUUCUAACGUGGACCCGUGAUCCGGGUUGCGGACAGUGUCUGGUGGGUAGUUUGACUGGGGCGGUCUCCUCCUAAAGAGUAACGGAGGAGCACGAAGGUUGGCUAAUCCUGGUCGGACAUCAGGAGGUUAGUGCAAUGGCAUAAGCCAGCUUGACUGCGAGCGUGACGGCGCGAGCAGGUGCGAAAGCAGGUCAUAGUGAUCCGGUGGUUCUGAAUGGAAGGGCCAUCGCUCAACGGAUAAAAGGUACUCCGGGGAUAACAGGCUGAUACCGCCCAAGAGUUCAUAUCGACGGCGGUGUUUGGCACCUCGAUGUCGGCUCAUCACAUCCUGGAGCUGAAGUGGGUCCCAAGGGUAUGGCUGUUCGCCAUUUAAGGUGGUACGCGAGCUGGGUUUAGAACGUCGUGAGACAGUUCGGUCCCUAUCUGCCGUGGGCGCUGGAGAACUGAGGGGGGCUGCUCCUAGUACGAGAGGACCGGAGUGGACGCAUCACUGGUGUUCGGGUUGUCAUGCCAAUGGCACUGCCCGGUAGCUAAAUGCGGAAGAGAUAAGUGCUGAAAGCAUCUAAGCACGAAACUUGCCCCGAGAUGAGUUCUCCCUGACUCCUUGAGAGUCCUGAAGGAAUGUUGAAGACGACGACGUUGAUAGGCCGGGUGUGUAAGCGCAGCGAUGCGUUGAGCUAACCGGUACUAAUGAACCGUGAGGCUUAACC
This 1484-nucleotide ribosomal RNA is filed under the name metagenome. RNAcentral describes it as "bacterial LSU rRNA". It matches the Rfam family "Bacterial large subunit ribosomal RNA", at positions 1464 to 2925 of the family's 2925-position model. The record is from RNAcentral.